UGAUCAGCCACACUGGGACUGACACACGGUCCAGACUCCUACGGGAGGCAGCAGUGAGGAAUUUUGCGCAAUGGGGGAAACCCUGACGCAGCAACGCCGCGUGAGUGAUGAAGGCUUUCGGGUCGUAAAGCUCUGUCAAGUGGGAAGAACCUGCAGUAUGUUAAUAUCAUAUUGCAUUGACGGUACCACUAAAGGAAGCACCGGCUAACUCCGUGCCAGCAGCCGCGGUAAUACGGGGGGUGCAAGCGUUAUUCGGAAUCAUUGGGCGUAAAGAGCACGUAGGCGGCCUGGUAAGUCAGAUGUGAAAGCCCGGGGCUUAACCCCGGAAGUGCAUUUGAUACUGCCAAGCUUGAGUAUGGGAGAGGGAAGUGGAAUUCCUGGUGUAGAGGUGAAAUUCGUAGAUAUCAGGAGGAACACCGGUGGCGAAGGCGACUUCCUGGACCAAUACUGACGCUGAGGUGCGAAGGCGUGGGUAGCAAACAGGAUUAGAUACCCUGGUAGUCCACGCAGUAAACGUUGUUCACUAGGUGUAGCGGGUAUUGACCCCUGCUGUGCCGCAGUUAACGCAUUAAGUGAACCGCCUGGGGAGUACGGCCGCAAGGUUAAAACCCAAAGGAAUUGACGGGGGCCCGCACAAGCGGUGGAGCAUGUGGUUUAAUUCGACGCAACGCGAAGAACCUUACCUGGAUUUGACAUCCUGGGAAUCCUAUCGAAAGACUGGAGUGCCCUUCGGGGAGCCCGGAGACAGGUGCUGCAUGGCUGUCGUCAGCUCGUGUCGUGAGAUGUUGGGUUAAGUCCCGCAACGAGCGCAACCCUUGUCUUUAGUUGCCAUCAUUCAGUUGGGGACUCUAAAGAUACUGCCCC
This 864-nucleotide ribosomal RNA is filed under the name uncultured sulfate-reducing bacterium. RNAcentral describes it as "bacterial SSU rRNA". It matches the Rfam family "Bacterial small subunit ribosomal RNA", at positions 301 to 1155 of the family's 1533-position model. The record is from RNAcentral.